Molecule: ribosomal RNA, 139 nt
Filed under: Mycoplasmataceae bacterium
Lineage: Bacteria; Bacillati; Mycoplasmatota; Mollicutes; Mycoplasmatales; Mycoplasmataceae
Description: partial 16S ribosomal RNA
Rfam family: Bacterial small subunit ribosomal RNA
Source: RNAcentral
CCGUCAAACUAUGAGAGCCGCUAAUACCUAAAACCGUUUUGCUAACCGCAAGGAGGCGAACGUCUAGGGUAGGAGUGGUGAUUGGAGUUAAGUCGUAACAAGGUACCCCUACGAGAACUUAAGCUAAAACAAUGUUAUG